Molecule: long non-coding RNA, 1606 nt
Organism: Esox lucius (northern pike)
Lineage: Eukaryota; Metazoa; Chordata; Actinopteri; Esociformes; Esocidae
Source: Ensembl
CCGUAAAUAAACCAAAUUUUCUACAUGUUGAGAAGUAUGUUCUGCUGUCAGUUUUGUGGUAAUUCUGUAAUCUUUCCAUUCCUAAUUGAAUAAAAGACAAUGUGCUGUCUUACUAUUUAAUAGUCCCCAUCCCUACUGCAUUAAUUUCUUGUCAGUAAUCUUUCUAAGUGACGGGGUUCAGUAUGGCACGCCUUAAAAAAAACUUACGGUGGAAAACAAGCGUCAAUUGGAGAAGUUCUUUUUAGUCCCUUUCUGAUUUGGGCUUUUUGGGAUUUACUUAAUCCUUGAUGUUACUGAGUAGGUCAGCUGUUUUAUGCAACCUAGGUCAAAUAGGAGAUUCUCACCAGUUCCUAAAUGGAUUUACCAAUGAAGAAAUUGUAGUUCUCUGAUUAGCCUUUGAAACCAUGUUGUGGUAUUUUUGACUGGAAUUACAAAAUUCCACACUAAUUGAAAUAAAAUGCAUAAAGGAUCACUCCCCUUUUUGGUACCAUACCAUACACAGUCAACCCAGCAAACAAAAAUAGGCAAUUUGAACGCCCUGCAUGUCUUUUCAUGACUGGAUGUUUAUCUAGGUUCUGGUUAGUCCCAAAAACAUUUGUAGGACGCAGUUUCAGGUUUCCUUGGGAGUUUUUUUUUUCUUGUGGGACUUCCUGGUCUGUUGCUGAUGUUCACAAAAAACUUAAGUGACCAUGUAAUAUUGUCAUUGUUUUUAAAGAUGUAUACACUGUUUUAUUUGAACAAUGUACCAUUUACCUUAAAAGUCGCCCUGCAAUAUCAUUACUUAUGUUUUGGGGGAAAAAUAGACAAAAAGCUCUAAAGGACCAUGAAACAAAUUACCAUGAAUGUCCUUAAGAGGUCCAAAUGGAAACUACAAAUCUCCUGUAGGAAAUAUCACACACUGAGGUCUUAAAAUGUCUGUUUGAAGGUUAGCAAAAUGUAUUUACUGAGAACCACCUUAAAAGAUUGUGACACGGAGCUGACAUGGUCUUCAGUGACAUCCUGAGAACUGAUGGGGAAUUAGCCAAUAGUCUGUCAGAAAAUAUCACUUUGAGACCUUCAAAUAACUUGUUAAGGACUAGGUCCUUAGAAUGUGGUAAAACAUUUCUGAUAAGGUUUUCUGUAACAUCCAAGGAAGUGAGAGGGAGCAACUCAAUGUUACCCUAGAGAUCUUUACUAUAGGACCAUUAUUUGACCAUCAUAAAAGGGCCCCCUGGAAAAUGAAACUUCACAGGAUGUUCUUAGGACUUCCCCGGUAGACUAUUUCAGGUUGUGAGUGAUGGUAUGUCUCGCUCUGCCUUACAAUUGCAGUUUUAUAACCCCCUCCGUGUCUCCCUCACACACCCUGUCACUGUCUUUCAGCUAGGUCAGUCUCUGACUUUCUCUAGAUUAGAUUAAACAAAUACCUCCGUUCUGUCCCAACUUAAAAGGUCAAAAGUAAAGAACCAGGUUGAUAACCUACUGCCCCCUGAAUAAAUGUGUAAAGUAAUCAAAACAAAUAGUUUUGUGAGGUGUUUUACAUCUGCCUGUUUUUCUCUUCACAAAACAAAAGCUGAUUCAAAGUUGGUAUUUCCAUUUGCUUAUCAUCAAAUAAAUGGCUUGUGAGAAA